UGCGUAGGCGGCUGGAUAAGUCACGUGUGAAAGGCCGGGGCUCAACCCCCGGAUCUGCAUGUGAGACUGUCCGGCUCGAGCACGGUAGAGGCGGGCGGAAUUCCUGGUGUAGCGGUGGAAUGCGUAGAUAUCAGGAAGAACACCGGUGGCGAAGGCGGCUCGCUGGGCCGUUGCUGACGCUGAGGCACGAAAGCGUGGGGAGCAAACAGGAUUAGAUACCCUGGUAGUCCACGCCCUAAACGAUGGACACUAGGCGUCGGGGGGAGCGACCCUCCCGGUGCCGUCGCUAACGCAAUAAGUGUCCCGCCUGGGAGUACGGCCGCAAGGCUGAA
RNAcentral lists this ribosomal RNA (332 nucleotides) under uncultured bacterium. Its description in RNAcentral is "bacterial SSU rRNA". It matches the Rfam family "Bacterial small subunit ribosomal RNA", at positions 568 to 898 of the family's 1533-position model. The record is from RNAcentral.